UCAUAUUUUGGUUAAGAAUUUAGGUCGACAUUACGUGUAAUACGCAGUAUGUAGAUCAAAAUUUAAUACGAGAGAAUUAUAUAUAUCUGACGCAUAGUUGAGAAAUUUGCAGAUGCAUAUCAAAUUCUAGAUUCUAGCAGAUAUUAUAGAGGAAGAAAAUACGCAUGAUUUUGCUACGAAAGCAAGUCAAUUGGGUUUCACAUAUUGGCGCGUGGCAUGAAUAUUUAACUUGUAUUCCUGGAAUCGAUUAAACGGAGCCGAUACCCAGGGAUUUCGUCAAUUAUAAUGACAGAUCAAGUGGCUGGAAAUACGCGUGAUGGAAAAUACUCGACAAGCCCAGCCAUGUUCACAGGCCGUGUCCAGAGUGCACAAUAGGCCGAAACGUCGUUCCAGUGAUUAACCGUGCACUAUGUCGCCAACGAAUUUGCGAAUCGAAUUUAUCGGAUUCGAAGAUACAACAAUGAAUCCUAUUUUACCACGACCACUAAUUCGAUCGAUUGCUUCAUCCUCGAUUGUUUGCCGAUCUUCGACCUAUCUGCGUAUACAAUGUAUACAAUCUACAUUAUAUUAUUACUCGUCGAUAUAGAGAGUACAGGAAAGCAUUGGCCUGAAUAGAGAUAAGUGCAGAUUUGAGGGUAAUCCAGGUGUAGAUUAAACUAAGCUUGAGCCGGUUUUAACUUGGAAGAUGGUGGAUAUGGAUUAACCUAGACCUAGGUUACCUUGGAGAUGAGUAAGCUAUGGUUUGAAUCUGUGUGCUGCCCUGAGUAAUCGUAGUUCUAUUGAAUUCUCUGUAAAUGUAGACCAUUGUAAAUACUAAGUUAAGCAUACGUUUGCAUUGAUUUGAACUGAAGAUAGAUAUUCUAAAAAGUUGAUUUAUUUACUAGGUUUCUGAUAAUUUAUUGUAAAGUAAAUUAAGCUAUUUUUAUUCAUAUAUGUUACAUAUCUCUUUACUUGAGGCUGUUUUAGUGUUAAUUUGAAAGUUGAGCACUAUUGUACUAUUUUAUAUCAAUUUAAAUCUUGUAAAAAGUUAAUCUAUUGUAAAUAUUCCUUAACAUAGGCUUAUAUGCUAAUUCUAAAUAUGAAUUUAGAAUUUACUGAAAUUUUAUUUUAUUAAAUUAAGUUAAUAUUAUUACAAUUCUGAAUUAAAGAUCCCUAAUUUCAAUCAAAAGUUUUAGUAAACCAGCUAUUAAUGUUAAGUCUAGGUUAGAAAAUAUUUAAAAUAUAUCUUUAUUGAUAUAAUAUUAAUAAUUCAGUGUAAAUCUUUUGAAAACUCAGAUUACUUAUUGGAUCUUUGAUAAUUCAUUCUAUAAUUAACUUAAAAUUACGAAUAACGUAAGGCUGUGCUAGGAUUAAUCUUGAUUACUAAAAUCAAGAUCUUCCAUGAAAUCGAUCCAAUCGCGAAUUCAUGGUACCAUUGAUAUUAUUAUAUAUCCUCGCCAAUGUAGAAUUUUACGCCAACAUAAACCUUUGUCAACGUUAACCUACUCCACUGCGAAGUUUCACGAAAGUUCCUACGUUAGCAUUGACCUACACCACACUGUACACACGUUCAUUAACGUUUUCCCCAAUCCAAUCUACGUCAACCUAAAUGUAAUUUGAAAUUAAUCCACGUUAAUCCAGUUCUAACGCAACAUAAAUUAGUAAGUAUUCAUGAAACCUCGAAACCUAACCUAUACUAUAAUCUGCUCGCUGUAAUGCACAUGUUUACGCAAAUUUCAAUGAUAUGAAAAAUUAUGUAAAAUUAAAAUCUGAACAUGGAACAAAUUACUCUUUCCAUUAUAUGGACAUUUUUCAUUUUUGAUAUCAGAUCAUAAAUUAUUUAUUUAAUCCUAUUUUGUUCCAUG
This is a long non-coding RNA of Apis cerana (Asiatic honeybee), 1844 nucleotides long. RefSeq lists it as uncharacterized. Lineage: Eukaryota; Metazoa; Arthropoda; Insecta; Hymenoptera; Apidae. The record is from RefSeq and is a predicted model, not a curated record.